GACGAACGCUGGCGGCGUGCUUAACACAUGCAAGUCGAACGGAAAGGCCCUGCUUUUGUGGGGUGCUCGAGUGGCGAACGGGUGAGUAACACGUGAGUAACCUGCCCUUGACUUUGUGAUAACUUCAGGAAACUGGGGCUAAUACCGGAUAGGAGCUCCUGCUGCAUGGUGGGGGUUGGACAGUUUCGGCGGUUGGGGAUGGACUCGCGGCUUAUCAGCUUGUUGGUGGGGUAGUGGCUUACCAAGGCUUUGACGGGUAGCCUGCCUGAGAGGGUGAACGGCCACAUUGGGACUACGAUACGGACCAGACUCCUACGGGAGGCAGCAGUGGGGAAUAUUGCACAAUGGGCGGACGCCUGAUACAGCAACGCCGCGUGCGGGAUGACGGCCUUCGGGUUAUAAACCGCUUUCGCCUGUGACGAAGCGUGAGUGACGGUAAUGGGUAAAGAAGCACCGGCUAACUACGUG
Molecule: ribosomal RNA, 468 nt
Filed under: uncultured bacterium
Lineage: Bacteria
Description: partial 16S ribosomal RNA
Rfam family: Bacterial small subunit ribosomal RNA
Source: RNAcentral